Molecule: long non-coding RNA, 1124 nt
Organism: Aethalodelphis obliquidens (Pacific white-sided dolphin)
Lineage: Eukaryota; Metazoa; Chordata; Mammalia; Artiodactyla; Delphinidae
Exons: 2
Source: RefSeq, a predicted model, not a curated record
CUUUUGCUGAGGAGCAGGAAGGGAAGGAGUUACAAGACAACACCACCCCUCCACAUACACAGCCCGCACACCCCCGAACCAUAAUACAACUGUAGGUCUGAAAGGCCUCAGACAACAUUUUGUGCAACUGGUUCAGCUGGCAGAUGAGGAAGCGACCCAAAGAGAAGGGCCCGGACUGACGCCCUCCCCUGGAAGCCACCGGACCCACGUGUCCAGACAUUCUCGUGGAGUCUGGGUGGCUGCCCCCUCCACAAAAGCCCACCAACACACAAUCUACUGAGCAAAUGGAAACUCUUCUUAGCCCACCCCCCAGGCAGAGCCCUGUAAUUCCAACCUCUCCCCGUGGAUUCUGAAGCCUGCAAUCAGCAACAUUCAAAUAGUUACACAUGAGGUCCUUUGCUGCUUGAGGUCUGUGAAAGGAGCUACUAGUGGGAAGUUGAGAUUACUGGGUAUCUCCAACGUGGUGACAAUGCCCUAGGGCAACUGAUUUCCCAUCUCUAGGCCUAGAAAGCAGGACAGCAAGAUCCCAACACACUCAUGGCCCCCACAGAUGGAGAGAGGAGUGCAUGAGGCCAGAAGGUCAUGAGUCAAAUGCUCCUUUAAAGCAGACCGGUUCCCCACAGCCAACCUGGCCUGGAAGAAUCCCUACCACCUUUGGCCCCACUGGAAGGAAGGCAGGGGGGAAGAGGGACACCUGGGCCAGAUAUCAUCUGUGACAUCCAGCUGAAAUAUGAAAUGCUGACAUAUGAAGAGCUACCCCAGGCAGCUCUCCAGGCUACACAAGACACCAGAGACCUUAGGGGAACCUUCUAGCCUCUAAGGACAAGAAGCCGGCUGUCAGAGAAGUUUGGCCUGCAGAGCCCCUGAAGGCCACUCCCCAUCUCCACAUCCUCCUGGACUAGGACAAACUCCCGCUCCACCCCCAGGCCACGUGACUCCUGGCCCAGCCUCACGGUGGGAACAGUGCUUGGGUGUCUUCACCACCUGGGGAGAUGCAGGGAGAGCGAGUGCGGGUGACCAGAGCCCAUCCUGUGCCUAGUCCCGGCCACCAGGGAUCGUUAUCCUAGUUUCACAGGCGGCAGAGGCCAACUCACAAGCUCUCAGCACAGAGAGUUACUCCCUCA